CCCGCAGCAUCAUCAUCAUCUCCCUGCCUCUGUUUAAAAGGCGAGGGUGGACCAGGGGCUUCUCCCACACUAUUGGCUCCCACGCCUGUCACUCAGGCAAGUGGGCGGGGCCACGCGUUGGCACACACCCACACACACCCAUACGCGCGCGCACACGCCCUGUGAAACUUUCUACAACAAAGGGUCGCGUGGAAAAGUUUGGCUGCUGUGCGCAAUGCUCGGGUAGCAGAGUCUGAGGAAUAAGAGAGUAACAGAGAGUAACAGAGAGUAACAGAGAGUAAUAGAGAGUAACAGAGAGUAAUAGAGUGUAACAGAGAGUAACAGAGAGUAACAGAGAGUAAAGCUGAAGGAAAAAAACCUGUGCUGAGAAAUUCCACGUUCAGAUCACCUUUAUUCACACCACAAUGAUGUCAUUCCUGUGGAUUCUGGUGUUUGGGAGCCUCAUUGCGCUGCAAGCAGGGAAAGUGGAAGCAGCAGAGGAUGAUGUAGCAGAUGCAGAAGACCCGCCCCCAGUUGAGGAAGGGGGCUCUGCCCCUGUUGAGGAAGAGGUAGCUGCCCCACCUGAGGUAGCUGCCCCGCCACCUGAAGAAGAGGAAGCUGCUUCCCCAGCUGAGGAAGAGGAAGCUGCCGCUCCAGCUGAGGAAGCUGCUUCUCCAGCUGAGGAAGAGGAAGCUGCCGCUCCAGCUGAGGAUGAAGAGGCUGAAGCAGAGCCAGCAGUAGGAGAGUCAGAUUCUGCUGUAGAUCCCACUGUUGCACCAGAGCCAGAGGAAGUACCUGAUCCUAUAGCUGCAGAAGAAGGUAAAUCAUGUGUAAAACUAUUUAUAAAAACAGUACAAAGCGUGUGUUUGCUGUAAUACAUAAUAUCGUAUAUUGGGUAAUGGACCCAAUG
RNAcentral lists this long non-coding RNA (889 nucleotides) under Astyanax mexicanus (Mexican tetra). RNAcentral's name for it is "lncRNA (ENSAMXG00005000002.1)". The record is from RNAcentral. Lineage: Eukaryota; Metazoa; Chordata; Actinopteri; Characiformes; Acestrorhamphidae.